This 3144-nucleotide long non-coding RNA is filed under the name Homo sapiens (human). Its description in RNAcentral is "HSALNT0019698". Lineage: Eukaryota; Metazoa; Chordata; Mammalia; Primates; Hominidae. The record is from RNAcentral.
GGAAAAGGCAGAAUGCCUAAGCUAUGUCUUUGUGGCCAAUAGGAUAGCUCUGUAUCUCUCACAUGACUCACUGCCCCUGUCUUUCACAUGGGCUGUAAUUUAGUUCAAUUCAGAACUGCAGAUAGUACAGCUUCCACAGGAGCAAGGGAUGUCUGAGCACAAGUGGCUGAGUUCCGAGUGACUUUAUGAAGCACUUUCUACCUUCCUCUCCGGCAUGAAAACAGGGAUUCUGCACCUGCAUCAUGGACAGUCUGGCAAAAGCCUCUGCUCUGCCUCCGGGGACAAGAAACUAGAGCAAAUAACCGUUUUGAAAUUAGAUCCUGGCAAAAUUACCAACAAUCAAUGAUGGAAACUGAAGGGAGAUUGAUUUAAAUCUUCAAUGACAGUUGUACAGAAGUUGAAGAAACACGUCAUCUUUCCAAAGAAGAGUGAGUAGCUUGGUUGGUGGUACCCUAAAAUUAGGGCAUGAUUAAGGUCUCGCUCUGCCACCCAGGCUAGGAGUGCAGUAGAGUGACUACAGUUCACAGCAGACUCAACCUUCCAGGCUCAAGCAAUCCUCUCACCUCGGCCUCCCAAGUACCUGGGACUACAGGCACACUCCACCAUUCCCAGCUAAUUUUUGUAUUUUUUGUAGAGACAUGGUUUUGACAUAUUGUCCAGGCUGGUCUUUUACUGUCAAAUUGCUAUAUUUUAUUGCUUUUGUUUUUGAAUAUUUUUGAUCCAUGAUUGAGUCCAUGAACAUGGAACCUGUGGACAUGGAGGCCCAACAAUAGUACUUAAUGUCUUUCUAACACAGCUACCUUAUGAACUCUGGAAAAAAUUGUAUGCCAGCCAAAGCAGUGGAACAACCAUAUUCUACUCACUGGAUUGUCCUCAACUGUUCAACAAUACCUCCCAAACUUGUUCCUGACUUCCGCCCAACAUGCAAUGACUCCAUUCUCAUUGUGCUCUUACCUGUUUCACUUAGUUGGAUUAUUUCUGUUCAAAAAUAUGUUUGAUUUUUAAAACUCAGGCUUUCACAGCUUUUAAAAGUUGUAUAAACCACUGUAUUUGUUUGAUAGAUGUGGGUGAAUUUGGCUUCCUACAAAGCAAUAACAAAUCAUCCACAUAGGAAAGUUACCAUUUCUGCAGAUGGAAAAAUGUGUACCUUGCUUCUCAUAUCAUUGUUUUCAUUUUGCAAGAUAUGAAUUUCUUGAAUAGUGGUAUCACCUACAAUUACUUAAAAAAUUAAAAUAAUUUAGGGCACCUUAGCUUGAUAGCUUUCUAAAGAUAUAAACAAGUUAUUUGGUUUAAUGAGGGGAAAAAAAUUGGUCUAAAGGAAAAUGGACUGACAGCUUUGUUACAUACUAAAAAUCAACCAAUAACUGUCUUUUAAUGUUGUUGGUGAUAGUUGUUUUGUUUUUUAAGCAGGAAACACACAGAUGUACUCUAAAAAUCAUUCUUAGUAGAAGUCUUUAAUAUCAUUUUACUUAUAGAUACUAAGUAUAAAUCUUCCACUUAAUCUGUGUUAAAAUAUGAUAUUCUUUUAUUUGUCAGUUAAUAGUUUGUAAGGACCAGAAAGUAACCAUUUCUAUAAAGCAGUUCUCUAGACAAGGUAAAAUGGUAAACCACCAUUAGAUGCUUUUUCUCCUUCUUCUCUGUCACGUGAUAUUAAAAAAGACUGGCCUGGGCAUGGUGACUCAUGCCUGUAAUCCCAGUAAUUUGGGAGUCCAAGGCUUUCAGAUCACCUGAGGUCAGGAGUUCGAGACCAGUCUGACCAACACGGAGAAACCCCAUCUCUACUAAAAAUACACAAUUAGCCGAGUGUGAUGGCGCAUGCCUGUAAUCCCAGCUACUCAGGAGGCUAUGGCAGGAGAAUCACUUGAACCCGGGAGGUGGAGGUUGCAGUGAACCGAGAUCAUGCCAUUGUACUCCAGCCUGGGCAACAAGAGCGAAACUCCAUCACCAAAAAAUAAAAUAAAAUAAAAAAUAUCCCAAUAACAGGGUUUUCUUGGGGCAUGUACCAUUGUGCUAAAUCUUCCAUUGAUGAACAUAUUGCAAUCUUUCCAUUGUUGCUUCACUUCUCAGCUUUUUAUGCAGAUAUAUUUUUAAAAUUAUCAGCAGACAAAACAUGUCUCAUCCUUUUCCUCUUUAUUCAUAUUCUUUUCAUUUGCCAUUUUUCAGUAUUUAGAGUAUGCUGCCCACGAGUCCCACGUUAUAGACUGGCUCACUGAAAGACUCAAACACUUCCUUCAGUCAAAUAUUCCCAACUGUUAUUUCUAACAAUUCCUUGUUCCUUGGUAGCUUUAUUAUGUUGGGCUUUUGUUUUCAAAUUCUGCAUAUUGAUUUAUAACUAGCUGUUAUUUCUAGCUGUGUGAUCUUAAACCAGUCACAUGAAUUCCCUGGGUUCUAAUUCUCUUAUCUGUAAAAUGAGCAAACUAUGAGAAUUCAUCUGUGUUGUUAUGAAAAUAAAAUAAGCUAUUGCUAACAAAACUCUUAAAAUAGUGCCUGGCCACGGUGGCUCGUGUCUGUAAUCCCAGCACUUUAGGAGGCCAAGGUGGGGGGAUCACGAGGUCAAGACAUCGAGACCAUCCUGGCCAACAUGGUGAAACGCCGUCUCUACUAAAAAUACAAAAAUUAGCUGGGUGUGGAGGUGGGCACCUGUAGUCCCAUCUACUUGGCAGGCUGAGGCAGGAGAAUAGCUUGAACCCGGGAGGUGGAGGUUGCAAUGAACUGAGAUCCUACCACUGCACUCCAGCCUGGUAACAGAGCAAGGCUCUGUCUCAAACAAACAAACAAACAAAAAGUGCCUAGCACAUAGUGUUCAAUAAAUGUUAAUGAUUACUAUGGAGAUCAAUACAUGUAAUAAUAUUUAGUUUUCCAAUUCAACCUUCCUACUAAUGCAGCCCUUUCCAUUUCUGACUUUGAAAAUAAAAAUGCUUUCAAUAAUACAAAAAACGCAUUUAACAAUUUUACUUACAAAACAUUUUUGCACAUAACAUUUCAGUAAGCUCCAUGAAGGUAGGGAUCUCUGGUUUCCUGUCUUGGUCGGUGUGGUAAGAUGCUUCUUGGUAACUACUGACUGAAUGAAAAACAGAAUAAUGUCAUUUUGCACUUACAUUUUACACUUGCACCCCUGAGUCUCAUGAAGAAAUAGUGAUAUAU